CAGCCCUAAACGAUGCGCGUUAGGUGUAUCGGUGACCACGAGUCACCGAGGUGCCGAAGGGAAACCGUGAAACGUGCCGCCUGGGAAGUACGGUCGCAAGGCUGAAACUUAAAGGAAUUGGCGGGGGAGCACCUCAACGGGUGGAGCCUGCGGUUUAAUUGGACUCAACGCCGGGAAGCUUACCGGAUAAGACAGCGGAAUGAUUGCCGGGCUGAAGACCCUGCAUGACCAGCUGAGAGGUGGUGCAUGGC
Molecule: ribosomal RNA, 251 nt
Filed under: uncultured archaeon
Lineage: Archaea
Description: partial 16S ribosomal RNA
Rfam family: Archaeal small subunit ribosomal RNA
Source: RNAcentral